UGCGUAGGCGGUGCAGCAAGUCGGGAGUGAAAUCCCACAGCUCAACUGUGGAAUUGCUUUCGAUACUGCUGUGCUUGAGUGAGAUAGAGGUAAGCGGAACUUAGGGUGGAGCGGUGAAAUGCGUUGAUAUCCUAAGGAACACCGGUGGCGAAGGCGGCUUACUGGGUCUCUACUGACGCUGAUGCACGAAACGCGAGGGAGACGGAAC
This 208-nucleotide ribosomal RNA is filed under the name uncultured bacterium. RNAcentral's name for it is "partial 16S ribosomal RNA". It matches the Rfam family "Bacterial small subunit ribosomal RNA", at positions 568 to 773 of the family's 1533-position model. The record is from RNAcentral.